UUCCACAGCCAUAUCACCCUGCAACCUGGUCAGUACCUGGAUGGGAGACCUCCUGGGAAAACUAGGUUGCUGUUGGAA
This 78-nucleotide ribosomal RNA is filed under the name Sinocyclocheilus grahami. Lineage: Eukaryota; Metazoa; Chordata; Actinopteri; Cypriniformes; Cyprinidae. The record is from RNAcentral.